AAGUCGUAACAAGGUUUCCGUAGGUGAACCUGCGGAAGGAUCAUUAACACUCUUUUUUCAAUGAAAGAGCUCAUUUUUUGAUAUCUUUGUUUUUCUUUUGAGAAACUUGGAUUCAAAUAAUGGGUAUUCACCCCCUUAUAUUGACGAACGAAGAAAAACAAUGAUUUUGUUUCAAAAGCAAAACUCAUAUUUUUCUAUCUUUUUCUCUAUACCUUAUAUUUUCAAAACCCCUUUUUUUACAAUAUGUCUUAGACUGAACUGAAAAAUUAAGAUAAAUUAAAAAACAACUCUUAACAACGGAUAUCUUGGUUCUC
RNAcentral lists this unclassified non-coding RNA (314 nucleotides) under fungal sp. RNAcentral's name for it is "partial internal transcribed spacer region". The stretch from base 1 to 46 matches the Rfam family "Eukaryotic small subunit ribosomal RNA", at positions 1786 to 1831 of the family's 1831-position model. Lineage: Eukaryota; Fungi. The record is from RNAcentral.